This 253-nucleotide ribosomal RNA is filed under the name uncultured bacterium. Its description in RNAcentral is "partial 16S ribosomal RNA". It matches the Rfam family "Bacterial small subunit ribosomal RNA", at positions 524 to 776 of the family's 1533-position model. The record is from RNAcentral.
UACAGAGGUCUCAAGCGUUGUUCGGAUUCAUUGGGCGUAAAGGGUGCGUAGGCGGCGCGGUAAGUCGGGUGUGAAAUCUCGGAGCUUAACUCCGAAACUGCAUUCGAUACUGCCGUGCUUGAGGACUGGAGAGGAUCGCGGAAUUCCCGGUGUAGAGGUGAAAUUCGUAGAUAUCGGGAGGAACACCAGUGGCGAAGGCGGCGAUCUGGGAACAUACUGACGCUGAGGUGCGAAAGCGUGGGGAGCAAACAGG